UACGAAGGGUGCAAGCGUUACUCGGAAUUAUUGGGCGUAAAGCGCACGUAGGCGGCUUAGCAAGUUGGAUGUGAAAUCCCUCGGCUCAACCAAGGAAGUGCAUCCAAAACUGCUGAGCUUGAGUACUUAAGAGGAUCGCGGAAUUCCCGGUGUAGAGGUGAAAUGCGUAGAUAUCGUCUGGAACGCCAAAGGUGAAAACAGACUGCUGGGAGUGUGCUGACGCUGAGACACGAAAGCCAGGGGAGCAGACGGG
This 253-nucleotide ribosomal RNA is filed under the name uncultured bacterium. Its description in RNAcentral is "partial 16S ribosomal RNA". It matches the Rfam family "Bacterial small subunit ribosomal RNA", at positions 524 to 776 of the family's 1533-position model. The record is from RNAcentral.